Molecule: transfer RNA, 74 nt
Filed under: Perkinsus marinus ATCC 50983
Lineage: Eukaryota; Perkinsozoa; Perkinsida; Perkinsidae
Rfam family: tRNA
About the family: Transfer RNA (tRNA) molecules are approximately 80 nucleotides in length. Their secondary structure includes four short double-helical elements and three loops (D, anti-codon, and T loops).
Source: Rfam by way of RNAcentral
GCCCGAUUAAUUCAGCUAGAUAGAAUGUCUGCCUACGGAGCAGAUGGUCGUAGGUUCGAAUCCUGCAUCGGGUA